RNAcentral lists this long non-coding RNA (438 nucleotides) under Cricetulus griseus (Chinese hamster). RNAcentral describes it as "lncRNA (ENSCGRG00015024612.2)". The record is from RNAcentral. Lineage: Eukaryota; Metazoa; Chordata; Mammalia; Rodentia; Cricetidae.
UGACAUUCCAGGAAUCCCUUAAGCUGUUUGAAGGAUGAGUGUUUUCUGAGGAUUUCAUUUGCUCUUUCUUUUCAAGUUUCCCAAAGUGAAUAUGCAUCUGCUACUGUGGUCUUCCAGGAUGGUUUUCCUAGGUCACACACUUGCCAUGAGGUGAACAGCAUUGCUACAUGGUACCAUCCUGAGGCAAACAGCAUUGUUACUCCAUAUCAUCCUGUGUCCAUGCUGCUUUACUUCACCACAGCAAUGGAAUACAACAGCCAUGCACUACACCAUAUUUUGACACAACAACAAUGAGUGGCUUACACAAGGGCCAUGCCCCUGGAGUCAGAGGAAUUGAGCCAAGUCUAGUCCUGAUGAGAAGAAUGAGCCAAGAGAAAUAAACCUGACUGACCAACAGCUCCCACCGUGGAGUAGAAUUUGUGACAAGGGUGAUCUCUC